ACUCCUACGGGAGGCAGCAGUGGGGAAUAUUGCACAAUGGGCGCAAGCCUGAUGCAGCCAUGCCGCGUGUGUGAAGAAGGCCUUCGGGUUGUAAAGCACUUUCAGUCGUGAGGAAGGUAGUGUAGUUAAUAGCUGCAUUAUUUGACGUUAGCGACAGAAGAAGCACCGGCUAACUCCGUGCCAGCAGCCGCGGUAAUACGGAGGGUGCGAGCGUUAAUCGGAAUUACUGGGGCGUAAAGCGCAUGCAGGUGGUUUGUUAAGUCAGAUGUGAAAGCCCGGGGCUCAACCUCGGAAUAGCAUUUGAAACUGGCAGACUAGAGUACUGUAGAGGGGGUAGAAUUUCAGGUGUAGCGGUGAAAUGCGUAGAGAUCUGAAGGAAUACCGGUGGCGAAGGCGGCCCCCUGGACAGAUACUGACACUCAGAUGCGAAAGCGUGGGGAGCAAACAGGAUUAGAUACCCUGGUAGCACAGAG
Molecule: ribosomal RNA, 473 nt
Filed under: uncultured bacterium
Lineage: Bacteria
Description: bacterial SSU rRNA
Rfam family: Bacterial small subunit ribosomal RNA
Source: RNAcentral